RNAcentral lists this ribosomal RNA (467 nucleotides) under uncultured bacterium. RNAcentral describes it as "partial 16S ribosomal RNA". It matches the Rfam family "Bacterial small subunit ribosomal RNA", at positions 28 to 507 of the family's 1533-position model. The record is from RNAcentral.
GACGAACGCUGGCGGCGUGCUUAACACAUGCAAGUCGAACGGAAAGGCUCCAGCUUUCUGGAGUACUCGAGUGGCGAACGGGUGAGUAACACGUGGGUAAUCUGCCCUUCACUCUGGGAUAAGCCUGGGAAACUGGGUCUAAUACUGGAUAUGACCUUUCUCCUCAUGGGGUUUGGUGGAAAGUUUUGCGGUGUAGGAUGAGCCCGCCGCCUAUCAGCUUGUUGGUGGGGUGAUGGCCUACCAAGGCGUCGACGGGUAGCCGGCCUGAGAGGGUGAUCGGCCACAUUGGGACUGAGAUACGGCCCAGAAGCCUACGGGAGGCAGCAGUGGGGAAUAUUGCACAAUGGGGGGAAGCCUGAUGCAGCGACGCCGCGUGAGGGAUGACGGCCUUCGGGUUGUAAACCACUUUCAGCAGGGACGAAGCGUAAGUGACGGUACCUGCAGAAGAAGCACCGGCUAACUAUGUG